Molecule: ribosomal RNA, 355 nt
Filed under: unidentified
Description: Macrorrhyncha collarti partial 12S ribosomal RNA
Source: RNAcentral
UUAAAAUAUAAAUAAAUAUAUUAGAGUAGUAGUAGUUAUAUUCUUAAAACUUAAAAAAUUUGGCGGUAUUUUAAUCUAUUCAGAGGAACUUGUUUUAUAAUUGAUAAUCCACAUUGAAUCUUACUUAGAUUUGUAUAAUUUGUAUAUCGUUGUCAUAAGAAUAUCUUAAAAAGGAAAUAAUUUUCUAAUUUAAAAAUAAUUAUUAAUGUCAGAUCAAGGUGCAGUUUAUAUUUAAGUAAAAAUGAGUUACAAUAAAUUUAUUUAUGAUGAAUUAAAGAUUUCAAUAUUUUUAUGAAGGAGGAUUUGAUAGUAAAUUUUUAGAGAUUAUAAAAUUGAUUUUAGUUCUAAAAUAUGC